RNAcentral lists this ribosomal RNA (1500 nucleotides) under uncultured marine bacterium. Its description in RNAcentral is "bacterial SSU rRNA". It matches the Rfam family "Bacterial small subunit ribosomal RNA". The record is from RNAcentral.
GAGUUUGAUCAUGGCUCAGAUUGAACGCUGGCGGAAUGCUUUACACAUGCAAGUCGAACGGCAGCAUAGAGAGCUUGCUCUCUGAUGGCGAGUGGCGAACGGGUGAGUAAUAUAUCGGAACGUGCCUAGUAAUGGGGAACAACUAAUCGAAAGGUUAGCUAAUACCGCAUACGACCUACGGGUGAAAGCAGGGGAUCUUCGGACCUUGCGUUACUAGAGCGGCCGAUAUCUGAUUAGGUAGUUGGCAGGGUAAAGGCCUACCAAGCCGACGAUCAGUAGCUGGUCUGAGAGGACGAUCAGCCACACUGGAACUGAGACACGGUCCAGACUCCUACGGGAGGCAGCAGUGGGGAAUUUUGGACAAUGGGGGCAACCCUGAUCCAGCCAUUCCGCGUGAGUGAAGAAGGCCUUCGGGUUGUAAAGCUCUUUCGCAAGAGAAGAAAUCUUACUAUCAAAUAAAUAGUAAGGAUGACGGUAUCUUGACAAGAAGCACCGGCUAACUAUGUGCCAGCAGCCGCGGUAAUACAUAGGGUGCGAGCGUUAAUCGGAAUUACUGGGCGUAAAGGGUGCGCAGGCGGUUUUGUAAGUCAGAUGUGAAAUCCCCGAGCUCAACUUGGGAACUGCGUUUGAAACUACAAGACUAGAGUGUGUCAGAGGGGGGUAGAAUUCCACGUGUAGCAGUGAAAUGCGUAGAUAUGUGGAGGAAUACCAAUGGCGAAGGCAGCCCCCUGGGAUAACACUGACGCUCAUGCACGAAAGCGUGGGGAGCAAACAGGAUUAGAUACCCUGGUAGUCCACGCCCCUAACGAUGUCUACUAGUUGUUGGUGGAGUAAAUCCAUGAGUAACGCAGCUAACGCGUGAAGUAGACGCCUGGGGAGUACGGUCGCAAGGUUAAAACUCAAAUGAAUUGACGGGGGCCCGCACAAGCGGUGGAGCAUGUGGUUUAAUUCGAUGCAACGCGAAGAACCUUACCAGGCCUUGACAUCCUCGGAACUUUCCAGAAAUGGAUUGGUGCCUUCGGGAACCGAUGGACAGGUGCUGCAUGGCUGUCGUCAGCUCGUGUCGAGAGAUGUUGGGUUAAGUCCCGUAACGAGCGCAACCCUUGUCCUUAGUUGCCAGCACGUAAUGGUGGGAACUCUAAGGAGACUGCCGGUGACAAACCGGAGGAAGGUGGGGACGACGUCAAGUCCUCACGGCCCUUAUGGGCUGGGCUACACACGUGCUACAAUGGCGGUGACAAAGGGACGCAAUAGGGCAACCUGGAGCAAAUCCCUAAAAACCGUCUCAGUUCGGAUUGUUCUCUGCAACUCGAGAGCAUGAAGUUGGAAUCGCUAGUAAUCGUAGAUCAGCAUGCUACGGUGAAUACGUUCCCGGGCCUUGUACACACCGCCCGUCACACCAUGGGAGUUGGUUUUACCCGAAGACGGUAUCCUAACCUUUUAGGAGGGAGCCGGCCACGGUAGGGUCAGCGACUGGGGUGAAGUCGUAACGAGGUAACC